This 519-nucleotide ribosomal RNA is filed under the name uncultured bacterium. Its description in RNAcentral is "partial 16S ribosomal RNA". It matches the Rfam family "Bacterial small subunit ribosomal RNA", at positions 29 to 523 of the family's 1533-position model. The record is from RNAcentral.
AACAAACGCUGGCGGCGUGCCUAACACAUGCAAGUCGUACGAGAAAGUCGGCUUCGGCCGAUGAGUACAGUGGCGCACGGGUGAGUAGCGCGUGGGUAAUCUGCCCCUCGGUCAGGAAUAACCCGCCGAAAGGCGGGCUAAUACCCGAUAACACUGACGCUCUGCGGAGUGUCUUUCAAAGAAGGCCUCUGUUUACAAGCUUUCGCCGGAGGAUGAGCCCGCGUACCAUUAGCUAGUUGGCAGGGUAAUGGCCUACCAAGGCAACGAUGGUUAGCGGGUCUGAGAGGAUGGCCAGCCACACUGGAACUGAGACACGGUCCAGACUCCUACGGGAGGCAGCAGUGAGGAAUCUUGCGCAAUGGGGGAAACCCUGACGCAGCAACGCCGCGUGAGUGAGGAAGGCUUUCGGGUCGUAAAGCUCUGUCAGAUGGGAAGAAAUGGAUGGAAGCCAAUACCUUUCAUUCUUGACGGUACCAUCAGAGGAAGCACCGGCUAACUCCGUGCCAGCAGCCGCCGUAA